RNAcentral lists this ribosomal RNA (121 nucleotides) under Scophthalmus maximus (turbot). Lineage: Eukaryota; Metazoa; Chordata; Actinopteri; Pleuronectiformes; Scophthalmidae. The record is from RNAcentral.
GCUUACGGCCACACAGCCUGGUUCACGCACGAUCUCGCUUUGAUCUCGGAAGCGAAGAUAGGUUGGGCCUGGUUAGUACUUGGAUGGGAGACCGCCUAGGGAAUACCAGGUGCUGUAAGCC